RNAcentral lists this long non-coding RNA (1204 nucleotides) under Gallus gallus (chicken). RNAcentral describes it as "lncRNA (ENSGALG00010011376.1)". Lineage: Eukaryota; Metazoa; Chordata; Aves; Galliformes; Phasianidae. The record is from RNAcentral.
AUUGAACGUGAAUGGGGGUCUAUAAUUAAAGGCCCACUACCACUGGAUAGGAAGACAGGUGAUCAAGUGAUAUCUACAGUAACUGUAGCAGGUUUCACCACAAGGAUUCUGUUGCGCUUGAAACCUUAUCCUUUCUGGGUGAUGUCAAGGCUCCGCAGAGCAUACUCAGAAGAACAUCGUAAAGGUUUUGUUUUUAUUGGAUGUUUAAGUUAAAUCUGGUUACGUGCAUCUGUGGAGUCCUGUGGAGGAAGGAAAUUGGUCCAAUUCUAUUUCAAAUUCAGUCGUGGCCCCUGGAGCUGCUUUCAAAUCAACACAGAGCUGACAGUAACAUCUGGAAUAAAAGGAGUUCCUCUGUGGGCAGUGAUUGUGCUGUGCAAGUAGAAGGAAGUCACCUCACAUGUAUAUGCCUCUGCAUCAGAUCAAUGUAUGGGAAAGUAUCAUUAGUUCUCAGCAGCUGAAAUCUCAGAAAUACAGCUUUUAAAGUAAGACACCUUGCACAAAGUUUGUCUCAGUCUUCUUGAAGACCUUCUCUGUAGGAGGUGGGAUGCUGCUGUUAGGUGCUGUUUAGGUCCCUGAAGCCACCUUUUCUUCAGGCAGAGCAACCCAGUUCCCUCAGCGUGUCCUCACAAGGCCCUGGAGCCCCUGGCCAUCUUGGUUGGCAUCCACUGACCUUGCAGCAGCUGAUCUGGGACUUCAUUUACCAUGGAGCUCGCAACUGAACACAGUAUAUAGAUGUAGUGCAAUGAGUGCCAAAUAAAGGGAGAUGAAUAAUCUGUUCCCUCUGUCUGCUGGCUCUGCGAUGAUUCAUACAGGACAGGCAACUUCUGGCCUGAUCUGCUGCCAGGACACACUGCUCCUGCCCAGCUUGCUGUCUGCCAAGAUCCCUGGGUCCUUGUCAGUAGAGCUGCACCCUAGCCAGGCAGCGCCCAGACUGUAUCAUGAUUAGAGGUUCUUCCUUCCCAGCUGCAGGAUUUGGCAUAUGUUCUUUCUGAAUUGGAUGAGGUUCCUCUCACCCUGUUGCACUGAUUACUACAUAUGUAUGAUUCUGUGUAUAACUCCUACAUGUCGGAAAAAAGUUGCCCUUUAUUUAGUGAGUCCUGAAUAGAUCAGACUCAGGAGUAUUUCAAUAUAAAACAUAAAUGCUUUUACUCUGUUUUCUCACCUUGCUCCUCUUUUAUAUAUACUUGUAAAAUAAAAUAUCCGG